Molecule: long non-coding RNA, 4889 nt
Filed under: Sus scrofa (pig)
Lineage: Eukaryota; Metazoa; Chordata; Mammalia; Artiodactyla; Suidae
Description: lncRNA (ENSSSCG00000055996.1)
Source: RNAcentral
UUUUUUUUAAAGUGGGUAUUUGGAGGAUUAAAUGAUAUAUAUCAAGGAUAUAUUCUAAUGCCCCCAAAAUAAAAGAAACAUGAAAAAAUGAUAAACUAUUAGUAAUGAUAUUGUCAUUUUUAUUAUUAAUAAAUCAUUUGAAUCCUUGCAUAAAUUUCAUAAUUCAUCCAAAUUUGUUUAUUUUUAUCUACUUAACAUCAUGUGUUUAUCUAUUGCCUUUGCUUCUCUCACUUUCAAAGCUCCACCCUGGUUCUGAGUUUCUGUCUAGCCCUCAGCCUGGGACACUCUUCCACUCUGGCCCUGCUUACUUGGUUCCUAGGGUCCUUAAGCUGAAUUCACGCACUCCGUUCUCCAUCACCAAGAGCAUCCAUCGGUCAAGAUUCUAUUUGUCAUUAACAUCAAGUCCAAAAACUAGGAGGCUGAGGUUCACGGAAAAGACUGUAAGCUCUAGAAUCGGGGCAUCCUGAGUGCUGACUAGCAAGCAUACUACAGAACUCUGAUUUUCAAGACUAUCUGAUAGAUACUCAAGACCCAAAGAAUAGGAAGCAUGCACUAAAACUAAUGCACAAACCAGGAACUGGAGAUUCAGCUAAAUGGUAAGAAGCACCUGACUGCUGGAAUUAGUGUACAAAUUUCAGUGUAUAAACUAAGACAAAGAUUAUUUUAAAUUUACUCCAAGAAUGCUUUCAUGGGUCUAUUUACAUCUCUAUUUCUAGGACAGGCCCUAGGUUUUGACUUAAAUCUAAGCUAACAGUGUUUUCAAACACUUCCACAUACAAGGGAGAACUUGAGACCAGGCAGGGCACAACACCAUAUUGCCUUUUUGCCCCAGUUUCCUUAUCUGUAAAAGAAAAACAAUAUAUCCUCUGCCUGCCUCAAGAUGUGUCACAUCAUACUGGGUUUGCGGAAGGGCUAUAUGAAGUAUAAACACUUGUAGAUUUAUUUUUUACAGCAUUUAUUGCCUUCCAACAAUCUUUACAUUCUGCUUAUACAUUCUGCUGAUUCAUUAGUUUCUCUGCCUUUUUACCAGAUUCUGAGGUCCUGGAGGGGAGGAAUCUGUAUGUGUUUUGCUCACUGGUCUGUCCCCAACAUCUAUCAGUAAAGAAUGUUUAGCAUAUGUUAAGUAAGAAAGUAAUAUUUGCUAAAUGAAAAAAUGUUAAUGUUUAUAAUUCUUAAUUGUAUUGGUUAAGACGCUAUCCAUUUCAGUUGAUAAGGUUGUUUCUAUAGCAACUUUCAAGAGAAAUACCUUUAACUCAUGGACUGGCUAAAAUGGUAAGAAUAUCAGAUCUGAUCUGAGCCUAGAGAUAGAUUUAUUUUUGGACAGGUAAGCCCCAUAGAGUUUUCAAAUUACAUAAAGUAGACAAUAACUUAUCUGCCUAAGAGGCUUGCUGGCCUCAGCUAUAGAAGAAAAUACAGAAUUUCCAGGAUCCAAAUGGUUUCAUCUCUAUUCCUCAAUCCAAUGACAGCAUGUAUACACAAUUUCACUUAACUGAAAUCAUUUUAAACAUGAUUAGAUUCAGCCAAACAAAUGUCUAUAUUGGACCAAUAACAUCAGUUCCCUGAAUCAGCUCUUUCCAGCUGGUCGAUUUGGCUGUACAUGAUUACAGGCUGGAAGGGAUUUGGAUGGGAAAGUAGCCUGUGAUUGUUCCAAUCUCAUUGUUUAGGACUGGGCUUUCAAUUCCCUCCCUUGUGGGUCACAAUCUGUGUUUGAAACAAGUACAAAUAGAUGUUUUUUUCAAAAAGACAAUAAAGCACGUACUUCGUUUAAGGAUUAAUUAAAUGAGCAUAAUGGAGAUCACAUGCAUAAGCACUUCAUCCACCCAUCCAAUAUUAGAGGUGAACACAGAGAUGUAUGGCAAUACAUAGGCUAGAGGUAAUCAAGGAUGGCUUCCAGGAAGAAGUGAUGUCUUUAAAGAUAUAUUAAAUGACAAAGAGUUAACUUGAUGAUGAGAGAGCAGGAAUUUUCUAGCAAAGAGAACAUCAUGUUCUAAGGACCAGAGGUAUCAGGAAGCACAUUACAAAUUCAGGGAAAUAAAAAUAUUCAUCAUGGUUGGGGAGUAGGGUACAUGUCAACUAAGUAGGACCUGACUGCCAUUGAUCAGCACUGCACAGACAUUUUUGGGAGCUUCACAGUUUCAGAGAACAUGACAAACCCUAAAGUGCUAUUUAAAAUAAAAAUAGCUGACAUUUACUGAGGAUGGACUCUGCCCUAACAGAGGUUAAGUCACUUGCCCCAAGGGCACAUAGCCAAGUGAUGCAGCCAGGAUGGAACCCAGUCACUCUGGCUACAGAGAUCAUGUUCCCAUCAAGUACAUCCUAAACGCAGGUGCCCCACAUGUGAAGACUAUGAAGGAUCACAGCUGUAGUGGAAAGGACCUCCCUCUGGGUUAUUCUCACUGUUCAUCUCCUGCAUGGGUGGAAAUGCAAUGUAUUCUCUUCCCCCAGAGGGCAGAGUGCAUUGUCUUCUCUGUGGGCAUGUUGCUGCAUCCAAAGCCCUCCUAGUGACUGAGCAGAUGUCCUGCCAGAUGGUAGCCACUUGGACACAGGCUCUACUGUGGCAGGCGGCCAGGACAGUCGCCUUGUAAUGGUUGUUAAUGUCACUAUCUCUCACAGACUGGACAGCUGGACAGAAUGCCCAAAGAAAAGCAGGUGCUGACCAUAGCGUACAUGGUUUUGCUGCCCAAAGGGAAGAAAAUGACAGUGUUCCUGGGCACAUCCAAGACUGUGCCUUUGGAAUAGUUUUCCUAAUUGCACCAAACAACAGGUUCCAUCAUACCUGGGAAGCAGAAGAAACAUCAAGGGAAAAUGUUAUUAUUCACAAACAUUUCUGAUUACCAACCACCUGGUUACCCAAGCCUUCCUGAUUUAACAUCCUGCCUAUCUACUCAUCUUUAUCCUUCCAAGGUCAACUUAGGUAUGCCUUCCUCUGUGAAGGCUUCCUGACCUUGCCUAAAGUUAACUAAUAAACAGCCCUCUCCUCUGGGUACACAGACUGAUAGGGGAAAAAAAGAUAUGUGAUAAGCUGCAAAUAUAAAGUGAUGUGUAGAAAGUCCUACAUGGCCCAAAGGAGAAAAUGAAAACUCUCAUGGCAGAUUCAUGGAAAGCUUCACUGAGAAAGAAAUACUUGAUAUGUAAGAAUGAAUACUCAAGAAUAAAAUAAGAAUUCAGUAGGCAGACAAGAAUCUGAAGGCAAUCAAAGUAAAGAAUCCUAAGAGUAGAGGUUUACAGCUCGGAGUAGCACUGAGCAACUGAAUAGGACAAGCAUGCAGAAUGCUUUAUGGAAAAUGUCUCAGUUUGCUUUUGCUGCGUAACAAACUGUGAGGCACACAACAAUAAUUGGCAAGACUCUGGUGAUGUCAUCUGGGCUUGCUCACUCAUUUGCAGGACUCUGCUCUUGUCAGCACUUGGCUGAAGCAAUUUAAGUGGGAAAGCUCUGUCCCAUUUGUUCAUCAUCCUUUCCCAGGCCAGCAGGAUAGAUUAGGUGUAUCCUUCUCAUGGAGAUGGCAAAAGUGCAAAAGCAAAUGAGGCAACCAUCCAAGCAGUGGGACAUAGAGUCAAGGAGUAAAGAAGUGAGCCCCAUGCUCAGUGGGAGGGCACUUUACUGCAUGAGUACAGAAAGCAGUAAAACAUUGUAGACACCAACAUACAUGGGAAAUAACCAAGUGAUGAGCCUGGGGAGGCAGGUUUGAACCAGAUCACAGGAUACACUAUGGACUAUCCUAAUAGAAUUUUCAUAUCAUCCCAUCUUGUAGACAAGGGCUACACUGAAGCAUUUUAAAUAAAGAAAUGACAUGAAUAUAUAUGUAUUUGAGGAACUUCCAUCUCUCUACGGAAGAUACUUUGAAUAGUAUUAACAACAGAGACAGAGAGGAGCUGAAAGUCUUAAAGUUAAGGUCUUAUAUAAGGCAGUAGCAGAGGACAUGGUGAUAAGCUGAUUUGGUGAUUUAUAAAAAAUUAGUACAAUAUGUGGUAUUCACAAACUGGUACCAAGGCAAUAGUGAGGGAAAGGAGGAGCUUAAGAGUUCUGUCUCACCUGUCUUGACUAAGGAUGGUCCUAUCCAAGAUAACCAGCAGAAACAAGAGGAAAACAAGUUAUGGGAGGAAAACAGUAGGGCAAUAGGUCAGGCUAGAACAUGAGUAGCCUGUGGGACUUCCUAGGAGGAAAAAGUUUUGUAGUAUUUGAUGUUGAGUAGAAGAGACUUCUAAUAUGGAAGUACAAUUUGAGAAUGAAUGGUACUUACGUGGUAUUGAAUGCUAUCAGCAUGAUGGCAACCGCUCAGAGAAAAGGCAAAAGGAUAGAGUGAAAACAAUAGAGGUUCAGAUUUGUUAUUACGUUAUAUCUUUGGUCACUUUGAAAAUCUGAAGCAAGCCAUGAAUUCUCUCCCAGAAAAUUACCCAGGCACAUAUAAAUCAAACUGUGAAUACAAUUCUAGGCAGCCUAUGGAUUUCAUGAAGUCUAUCUGAAGAUCCUUUAAGGAUUAUAGAAGCCAAAUUACAAAUCCCAAAUUUUAAAUCAUGAACAGGGAGAAAAUCACAAAUGAAAGAAAUGAAUAGGAAGAGAUCUUAUCAGAGAACAGAGAUAAUCUGGGUCAUGAACAAGAGCUCAUUAAGUACUAAAGUUCAAGUCACUGUAAAAAAUUUUGAACAGGCAUUCCCGUCAUGGCGAAGUGGUUAACGAAUCCGACUAGGAACCAUGAGGUUGUGGGUUCGAUCCCUGGCCUUGCUCAGUGGGUUAAGGAUCUGGCAUUGCCAUGAGCUGUGGUGUAGGUUGCAGAUGUGGCUCGGAUCCUGCAUUGCUGUGGCUCUGGCAUAGGCCAGUGGCUACAGCUCUGAUUCAACCCCUAGCCUGGGAACCUCCAUAUGCUGCAGGAAGCGGCCCAAGAAAAGGC